RNAcentral lists this long non-coding RNA (2258 nucleotides) under Gadus morhua (Atlantic cod). RNAcentral's name for it is "lncRNA (ENSGMOG00000030472.1)". The record is from RNAcentral. Lineage: Eukaryota; Metazoa; Chordata; Actinopteri; Gadiformes; Gadidae.
CCCCAUGUUCUGCCUUGAGGUAACAAAUUAACAAAUAAAUGAAUAAAUAAGGUAAUACACUUGGCUGUCCUCAGAGGUUUCCUCUUGUAGCCUACUUUGUUCACUGAAAGUGGGGGGAUGGGUUACUGUUUGAUGCUCAAAAUCCCCAGACUAAUUUGAAGUGCAGAGACCCCAAACACCAGGACAGCGUCUGUACACCAGAGUACAGAACUCUCUCAGAGCUGCUCCGAGAGAUCUACUUCGAGAUCUGCUCUGAAACUUUUGCAACGUUAUUGGACAUUUUGUUACAUCUAUUAUUUUGUUGAUGAGUGCUCCAAUUUAGAAAAUGGAGAAAACAGGAGGGGGAAAGGAAAGCCUUCAUGUGUGGUGGCUAGCUAGCUACUCUGCAGCAGCAGCUACAGGUUCUGUUUGUGAUGUUAGGCUAACUUUAUCUACUCUAUAACCGUCCAGGUGGAGCUGCUGGAGAAGGGACAUCUGGUCUCUGUUCCACACCUCUCCCCUCUACGGAGCUUCCUGCAGGUCUAGAGACAUCCAUCCCUCCAGCUCCCUCCAGUGAAACACAGCCUGCAGGUCUAGAGACAUCCAUCCCUCCAGCUCCCUCCAGUGAAACACAGCCUGCAGGUCUAGAGACAUCCAUCCCUCCAGCUCCCUCCAGUGAAACACAGCCUGCAGGUCUAGAGACAUCCAUCCCUCCAGCUCCCUCCAGUGAAACACAGCCUGCUGAAGAAACUACACCACUAAUGUCCAGUGAAUCUCCUGCACCCACCGGGGACCAACAAGAACACACUUCAAGAACAACUACCCCUGAUGUAACUAUGGAUGGUCAUGAUGAUGACCAGAGUCUGGAUGCCCUCGCCUACCGGUCUGGUACUGGACAGCUAGACAUUGAGAUGGGUCCAGUCCAAACACUGCCCAAAGAUCGUAACAGGAUUCUUUAAUAUCGCUGUUCGACCCAAGUUUCCCAUCGACCGUGAUUCACUAUUGAAGGGGAAUGACAUUACAGGAUACAAAGUAAUGCAGUUCGAGAAAUUUUGGAUCAACAUGAAAGUGAAUCUGAUGGUUCAAACUCAGAAACUAGGGGAGGAAAUACACCAGUCUGAUUCCUUCCUGAUGCCAGCUUUCACAGGAGAAGAGGCGUGGUGUGUUUAACAUCAUUAUUUGAUCAAUCCUCACAUUAUUCUUCUAUAUGUGGCUCACAGAGCAAAGAGAAGCGAGGUGUUAAUAAAUAGUGUGAGGUGUGCUCUGUGAGGCGUCCUGGGGUAUGAUGGGUAACCUUGGCUUGGGUCCAAGCUCCACCUCUCUUGGGCGACCACCAAGGAAGACGAUAUUUUCUUUAUGAUAUAUUUUUUUGCAACGUUACUAACGUUCCUCAAUAUUUUGCAAACGAUGACACGUACAUAUUUCACCCAUGCAAGUAUCUUUUCUUGUUGUUUUUCUGCUAAACUUUUAGUAACCACUAAUCACUUUUUUGAAGGCUUUUGACCGUAAUCAUUUAGGGAAUAAAAUUUAAAAUAACAGAUGCAAAACCUUUAAUGAAAAUAUUUGCCAAUUUACUGCACUGUAUUUCAAUGAUGAUUUCUUAUUUACAUUUAAUUUUUUUUUUUUUUUUUUAAGUAAUUCCUGUACUUCUUUUUUACUACUUGCCUUGAGUUGUUCAGGAAGCAUUUGGGGUGCUGGGAUUAGCAUUACAUGGCCUUCUUUCAUGUGUCAGUCAAACAUUGUUAGUUACAUACUAUUGUUUGUGAUGAAGUGGAGUUAGAGAGGGCUGGUUGUUGGGGUAUGCUUUUAUGAGAGCACACUAAUAAAGGGUUGAACAUUGCGUCUUAGUUUGUGGUCUGUUUGUGACAAGGGACCGGGAGACUCCACCUCAUAAAGUCCGGUCUCACAGGAAGAUUGCAAAAACACAAAAAGGGCACAAGGACGCUGUAGACUGAGACAGGGAAACAAUCCAAACAAAGGAAGAAAAGACAGGUCACCUUCUGAAGAGAAGUCAGGGAGCAGGCAGAGGACAGAAACCCAGGCAAAGGCCAAAAACAGGCAGGAACCAGACAGGCAGGAACCAGGCAGGCUGGAACCAGGCCGGCAGGAGCCAGGCAGGCAGACUACGGGGCCUUUUGACCUGACUAGGUAAGCCAAGACCAAACGUAAGAUCAAUCUAACAAGGUGGCACUGACAGCCCAGGAUAUACAUAGGCUGAGUAGUUAACACACAAUGAGGAACAGGUGAGAAGGAAACAGGGCGGGAAACUAACACCGGCA